CCUACGGGUGGCAGCAGUGGGGAAUAUUGCGCAAUGGGCGAAAGCCUGACGCAGCGACGCCGCGUGAGGGAUGAAGGUCUUCGGAUCGUAAACCUCUGUCAGCAGGGAAGAACGGUCACUGUGCUAAUCAGCAGUGAAUUGACGGUACCUGCAAAGGAAGCACCGGCUAACUCCGUGCCAGCAGCCGCGGUAAUACGGAGGGUGCGAGCGUUAAUCGGAAUUACUGGGCGUAAAGCGCUCGUAGGCGGUAUGUCAAGUCAAGGGUGAAAUCCCCGCGCUCAACGUGGGAACUGCCUUUGAAACUGGCAAACUGGAGUGUGUGAGAGGAGAGUGGAAUUCCAGGUGUAGGAGUGAAAGCCGUAGAUAUCUGGAGGAACAUAAGUGGCGAAGGCGACUAUCUGGCACAUAACUGACGCUGAGGAGCGAAAGCGUGGGUAGCAAACAGGAUUAGAUACCCCAGUAGUC
Molecule: ribosomal RNA, 465 nt
Filed under: uncultured bacterium
Lineage: Bacteria
Description: partial 16S ribosomal RNA
Rfam family: Bacterial small subunit ribosomal RNA
Source: RNAcentral